GACGAGCGCUGGCGGCGUGCUUAACACAUGCAAGUCGAACGGAAAGGCCCUGCUUUUGUGGGGUGCUCGAGUGGCGAACGGGUGAGUAACACGUGAGUAACCUGCCCUUGACUUUGGGAUAACCUCAGGAAACUGGGGCUAAUACCGGAUAGGAGCUCCUGCUGCAUGGUGGGGGUUGGAAAGUUUCGGCGGUUGGGGAUGGACUCGCGGCUUAUCAGCUUGUUGGUGGGGUAGUGGCUUACCAAGGCUUUGACGGGUAGCCGGCCUGAGAGGGUGACCGGCCACAUUGGGACUGAGAUACGGCCCAGACUCCUACGGGAGGCAGCAGUGGGGAAUAUUGCACAAUGGGCGGAAGCCUGAUGCAGCAACGCCGCGUGCGGGAUGACGGCCUUCGGGUUGUAAACCGCUUUCGCCUGUGACGAAGCGUGAGUGACGGUAAUGGGUAAAGAAGCACCGGCUAACUACGUGCCAGCAGCCGCGGUGAUACGUAGGGUGCGAGCGUUGUCCGGAUUUAUUGGGCGUAAAGGGCUCGUAGGUGGUUGAUCGCGUCGGAAGUGUAAUCUUGGGGCUUAACCCUGAGCGUGCUUUCGAUACGGGUUGACUUGAGGAAGGUAGGGGAGAAUGGAAUUCCUGGUGGAGCGGUGGAAUGCGCAGAUAUCAGGAGGAACACCAGUGGCGAAGGCGGUUCUCUGGGCCUUUCCUGACGCUGAGGAGCGAAAGCGUGGGGAGCGAACAGGCUUAGAUACCCUGGUAGUCCACGCUGUAAACGGUGGGUACUAGGUGUGGGGUCCAUUCCACGGGUUCCGUGCCGUAGCUAACGCUUUAAGUACCCCGCCUGGGGAGUACGGCCGCAAGGCUAAAACUCAAAGGAAUUGACGGGGCCCCGCACAAGCGGCGGAGCAUGCGGAUUAAUUCGAUGCAACGCGUAGAACCUUACCUGGGUUUGACAUGGAUCGGGAGUGCUCAGAGAUGGGUGUGCCUCUUUUGGGGUCGGUUCACAGGUGGUGCAUGGCUGUCGUCAGCUCGUGUCGUGAGAUGUUGGGUUAAGUCCCGCAACGAGCGCAACCCUUGUUCACUGUUGCCAGCACGUUAUGGUGGGGACUCAGUGGAGACCGCCGGGGUCAACUCGGAGGAAGGUGGGGAUGACGUCAAGUCAUCAUGCCCCUUAUGUCCAGGGCUUCACGCAUGCUACAAUGGCUGGUACAGAGAGUGGCGAGCCUGUGAGGGUGAGCGAAUCUCGGAAAGCCGGUCUCAGUUCGGAUUGGGGUCUGCAACUCGACCUCAUGAAGUCGGAGUCGCUAGUAAUCGCAGAUCAGCAACGCUGCGGUGAAUACGUUCCCGGGGCU
RNAcentral lists this ribosomal RNA (1346 nucleotides) under uncultured bacterium. RNAcentral describes it as "partial 16S ribosomal RNA". It matches the Rfam family "Bacterial small subunit ribosomal RNA", at positions 28 to 1381 of the family's 1533-position model. The record is from RNAcentral.